RNAcentral lists this unclassified non-coding RNA (26 nucleotides) under Mus musculus (house mouse). RNAcentral describes it as "oocyte_clustered_small_RNA10909". The record is from RNAcentral. Lineage: Eukaryota; Metazoa; Chordata; Mammalia; Rodentia; Muridae.
UGUGUGAACUUUCACUUACUUGCCCU